UACGGAGGUGGCAAGCGUUGUUCGGAAUUACUGGGCGUAAAGGGCGCGUAGGCGGCGGUACAAGUCAGAUGUGAAAGCCCCGGGCUUAACCUGGGAAUUGCAUCUGAAACUGUAGUGCUUGAGUUCUGGAGGGGGUAGUGGAAUUCCCAGUGUAGCGGUGAAAUGCGUAGAUAUUGGGAGGAACACCUGCGGCGAAGGCGGCUACCUGGACAGAAACUGACGCUGAGGCGCGAAAGCUAGGGUAG
Molecule: ribosomal RNA, 245 nt
Filed under: uncultured bacterium
Lineage: Bacteria
Description: partial 16S ribosomal RNA
Rfam family: Bacterial small subunit ribosomal RNA
Source: RNAcentral